This is a long non-coding RNA of Saccostrea echinata, 398 nucleotides long. RefSeq lists it as uncharacterized. NCBI's taxonomy places the organism in Eukaryota, Metazoa, Mollusca, Bivalvia, Ostreida, Ostreidae. The transcript has 3 exons. The record is from RefSeq and is a predicted model, not a curated record.
CAGCAAGUCAGGAUGAAGGCCAGAAGUCACUGUCCAUCCACCCUUAGGAGUAAACUCGCAAUGCUGCUGAGACUUCUCAUUUGAGAGCUUGCCGAAGAUUCAUGGGAAAAAGGAAUGCAAUCUAACACCUGUGCUUCAUUCAACUGUAUUGGAGGUUAUGAGGGACUUCAACAUGUGGUGACCGUGUGUGAAGAAUGGCAAAGGAAAGCUUGAAUCAUGGAAAAGAUAAGUUAUUCCAGAUAACUUAGGAAGAAGAACAAUAAAAAUGACACACUCUUUCCUUGCAGACAGAAAGAAUUUUGUGAAAAUAAUCAACCAGUGGUAAAUUAACAGCUAAUUGAAAAAUCAAGUUUUGGUACAAUAUUUUUUAUCUUUUUAUUUCAUGUGAAUUUAAGGCA